This 301-nucleotide ribosomal RNA is filed under the name uncultured bacterium. RNAcentral describes it as "partial 16S ribosomal RNA". It matches the Rfam family "Bacterial small subunit ribosomal RNA", at positions 509 to 809 of the family's 1533-position model. The record is from RNAcentral.
CAGUAGCCGCGGUAAUACGGAGGGGGCUAGCGUUGUUCGGAAUUACUGGGCGUAAAGCGCACGUAGGCGGCUUUUUAAGUUAGAGGUGAAAGCCUGGAGCUCAACUCCAGAAUUGCCUUUAAGACUGGAUCGCUUGAACGUCGGAGAGGUGAGUGGAAUUCCGAGUGUAGAGGUGAAAUUCGUAGAUAUUCGGAAGAACACCAGUGGCGAAGGCGGCUCACUGGACGACUGUUGACGCUGAGGUGCGAAAGCGUGGGGAGCAAACAGGAUUAGAUACCCCCGUAGUCCCUGUCUCUUAUAA